UGCCUGUAUCUACAUUGCUGAGUGCUGU
Molecule: non-coding RNA, 28 nt
Filed under: Homo sapiens (human)
Lineage: Eukaryota; Metazoa; Chordata; Mammalia; Primates; Hominidae
Source: RNAcentral